AACGAACGCUGGCGGCAGGCUUAACACAUGCAAGUCGAGCGGGCCCUUCGGGGUCAGCGGCAGACGGGUGUGUAACACGUGGGAACGUACCUUUUGGUUCGGAACAACUCCGGGAAACUGGAGCUAAUACCGGAUAAGCCCUUAGGGGGAAAGAUUUAUCGCCAAAAGAUCGGCCCGCGUCUGAUUAGCUAGUUGGUUGGGUAACGGCCCACCAAGGCGACGAUCAGUAGCUGGUCUGAGAGGAUGAUCAGCCACACUGGGACUGAGACACGGCCCAGACUCCUACGGGAGGCAGCAGUGGGGAAUAUUGGAAAAUGGGCGCAAGCCUGAUCCAGCCAUGCCGCGUGAGUGAUGAAGGCCUUAGGGUUGUAAAGCUCUUUUGUCCGGGAAGAUAAUGACUGUACCGGAAGAAUAAGCCCCGGCUAACUUCGUG
This 433-nucleotide ribosomal RNA is filed under the name uncultured bacterium. RNAcentral describes it as "partial 16S ribosomal RNA". It matches the Rfam family "Bacterial small subunit ribosomal RNA", at positions 29 to 507 of the family's 1533-position model. The record is from RNAcentral.